GUGAGGAAUAUUGGUCAAUGGGCGGGAGCCUGAACCAGCCAAGUCGCGUGAAGGAAGAAGGAUCUAUGGUUCGUAAACUUCUUUUGCAGGGGAAUAAAGUGCGGGACGUGUCCUGUUUUGUAUGUACCCUGAGAAUAAGGAUCGGCUAACUCCGUGCCAGCAGCCGCGGUAAUACGGAGGAUCCGAGCGUUAUCCGGAUUUAUUGGGUUUAAAGGGUGCGUAGGUGGUUUGAUAAGUCAGCGGUGAAAGUUUGCAGCUUAACUGUAAAAAUGCCGUUGAAACUGUCGGACUUGAGUGUAAAUGAGGUAGGCGGAAUGCGUGGUGUAGCGGUGAAAUGCAUAGAUAUCACGCAGAACUCCGAUUGCGAAGGCAGCUUACUAAGCUACAACUGACACUGAAGCACGAAAGCGUGGGGAUCAAACAGGAUUAGAUACCCGUGUAGUCC
Molecule: ribosomal RNA, 445 nt
Filed under: uncultured bacterium
Lineage: Bacteria
Description: partial 16S ribosomal RNA
Rfam family: Bacterial small subunit ribosomal RNA
Source: RNAcentral